UCGUUUAUUGGCUCACUCUUCCUUUCAUCCAUCCAUCCUUUGCGCAACAAUAUUUGAUGGGAAGCCUGCCAAGUUUUCAGAUUACUCCAUUUGAUUCUCACAAGAACAUCGUAAAUGGAAAAGACUAGAAUUGCCCUGAGUUCACAGAUUGGUCAUCGAGGUCAAAGAAAUCAAGUGACUUCUGGAGGCCACACAGCUAAUAAACAGCAAGGCAAUGACUUGAACCCAGGUCUUCUGGUUCCAGAGGCAGGGAGAAAGACACAUGGGCAGGAGAAUACCACAUGGAGACACAGACACACGAGGGGAGGAUGCCUGCUGACCAUGGAGGCAGAAGUGGGACUGACGCAUCGAUCAGCUGAGGGAUGCCAAGCACUGCCAGCAAACACCAGAGGCUUGAUGGGGGCGAGUAUUCUCCUGUGCAGGUAUCAGAGGGAGCCUGGCCUUGCAGAUACCUUGAUUCCUGACUUCUGGCCUCUAAAAUGUCCAAUGUGAGUCAGGCAUCUCUCCUGGUGGCUGUCUUCCAUGUGGUGACUUAUGUAUCCAGGAUCCUUCUACUGUGUUUCUCCUCCAUUGCGAAGUCCUUCACUUCCAGCACCUGAGACAUUUUUUGGGUAUAUCUACAAGUGGCAUAUAUCACUUCUGCCCACAUUCACCUGGGUAGAACUCAAUCACAUUGUUUCACCUAACUGCAAGUGAGGCUGUGGAAUAUAGUCUCCCUAUGUGCCCAAGCAGAAGAAACAGGAUUGUGUGACUCUACAAUGUGUGAUUGCUCCUGGUGAAUCAAAAGGAUAAAGCUGCUGAUUCUGCAAUUUGAUAACCCAACCAUGCUGACCUCAAAGUGUAGUCAAUCCAUGAAGUUCCUCCCACCACAGCUCAUCCUGAACACUGCCCACCUGAGUCAUCAAGAAAGGUUUAAGUACAUUAUCUGUGCUCUGUUUAAUAUGUCCGUGAAGUGUGUCCUAAAUUUAGUUAUUUCUAGGACCUCUUUCUAGUUUGCAAGUAAGCCAGGUUCUACUGCUGUCAAGUGUUACUCAUGGCUAACUGAGGAAAAGGGGUUCAAAAACAUUGAGAAGACGAAAAGGAGGGAGAAGGCUGGGUUAAUGGGGACGGAGGUAAGGGGUGAGACCCCGGCUAAACAGUGAAGAUAAAAACAGACAUGUAAAUGAGAGAACCGGAAGAGAAGGUAAUGGUGAAAGUCAAUACGGGAAGGAAAGGGGUUGUAGGGGACAAACACUGAGAGGGCAAGAACUUGGAGUAGGUGAAACUAAGGUGAGCGAGGAGGCUGAAGAGAGGUCAGCUGCAGCGGGAAAGAGGGAAGGGCCCUUUAAGAGACACAUCAAGCCGCAGGUGUGGGCCACGAGGCUGGCGCAGGGCUGUCGCUUCACGCGCCGCAGACUCAUCCAGAAGCGCCUUGGGAGCUGCGGAGCCCUAGAGCCUCCAUCCGGGCAGCAAAGCAGCUCACGUGUCCCACCCGGGAAGGGCAGGAGUGGGCGAGGAAUGGUGGAGGGAAAGGAGGGAAAGCGGAGAAACAGGAGGGAGGGGGAAAGCUGCCGCUGCAGAAAAGAAACGAGUAAGCCCCUUUGUGCUUGGCCUGCGAGGUGUUUCCUUCCCGAGCAGACUUGAAGCUGUCACCUCUCAGUCUGGGUUUGGAAUAAAUACACUCGCCCACCGAGAGAUGAGGCGGCGCCUGGCCGCACCUGGGAGGUACCUGGUCGCACCUGGAAGUGCCUGGUCUCCCCUGGCAGGUACCUGGCC
RNAcentral lists this long non-coding RNA (1755 nucleotides) under Homo sapiens (human). RNAcentral describes it as "HSALNT0343799". The record is from RNAcentral. Lineage: Eukaryota; Metazoa; Chordata; Mammalia; Primates; Hominidae.